This 693-nucleotide long non-coding RNA is filed under the name Hordeum vulgare. RNAcentral describes it as "long non-coding RNA (HVUL_LNC019266)". Lineage: Eukaryota; Viridiplantae; Streptophyta; Magnoliopsida; Poales; Poaceae. The record is from RNAcentral.
AAUAUCGUCUGCCAAGGCCCAACAUUGGUACUAUAUUUUCCCAACAUAAUAAUUUUGUUAAUACUGAAAACAUAGGGAGUUAGUGCUACCCGAGGAGUAAUUCAACAUAAUACAGGGAGGGCCAGUGCUGAUGGUGCUGGUCCAAAACAGAGCAGCUUAUUAACGCUACCCGGGGCAACUCGGCGUUUGGCGUGGUAACCAUCGCUCAUCCGUCGUGUCCUGAGAAUGAGAUACGCGGCUCCUAUCGGGAUGUUGGCCGUCGGGCGGCCUUGCUGGACUUGUUUUACCUUUCUCAAGUGUCUUGUGCGAGGGAUUCCGAGGAUGCUUUGGGUUAUCUCGAGGUUGAGGUUUUCCAAUGGGAACCCGAGGAGAUCACGGGUUUCCCUGAUCAAGGUCAAUCCGCCGCAGCGUGUGGUAGUUUGUGAUGGACUAGUUGGAGCACCCCUGCAGGGUUAAAUCUUACGGAAAGUCGUGCCCGCGGUUAUGUAGCAACAUGGAAACUUUGUUUAACAUGCGGUUCUAGAUAACUUGACGUAAGCUUAAUUGAAAUAUGCCAAUUGAGUGCGUAACCAUGAAUGUCUCUUUCGUGAGGUCCUUCUCCGAUUGAGGACAUGGUGGGUUAUGUCUGACGUAAGUAGGUGUUCAGAAUCAUUCAUUUGAUCGUUACUAGUUCACGUGUGCUGUGCGUAGAUC